This 982-nucleotide non-coding RNA is filed under the name Sepiella japonica (Japanese spineless cuttlefish). The record is from RNAcentral. Lineage: Eukaryota; Metazoa; Mollusca; Cephalopoda; Sepiida; Sepiidae.
AAAUAUAAUAUAAAAAAUAUAGUUAAUAAGGUUUAAAAUUAGUAUUACACAUAUUAUAUUAAGUAAUUUGGCUUUGGUUAUUAUAUAAAUUGUUGCUAUGUUUAUAUAUGUUAGGUUUGAUUAGAGAACGUAUUAUCUUUAGUGUAACUAGUUUUGAUUGUUUAAUAUAAUAGAAUUAGAAACAUAUUUUGUUAAUAUUUUAUUAAAAUAAAAUAUAAAGAUUACGCAGUAUUUAUUAUUAUACAAUGAAUGAAAGUUUGAUAUAGUUAAUGUAAAUUAUAGAUGGAUUAAUUUGUGCCAGCAUCUGCGGUUAUACAAAUGUCUUAAAUUUAUAUAGGUUAGUAUAAAAAAAAGUAAAAUUAUUAGGUUUAUUAGGGUAGUUGAGAGUAAUAAUUGUAGGUAAAAUUUUUGUUAAAUUAUUACUAUUAAAUUUAUUUUUCUAAAUUUGAAACUUUGAAAAUAAGGUGAUUUUAAAACUAGGAUUAGAUACCCUAUUAUUCUUUAUUUUAAAAAUUUUUUACUUAAGUAGUGUAAAUGAUAAAAAAUAUAAAGUAUUUGAAACUUAAAAAGCUUGGCGGUGUUAUAGAUCCAUUUAGGGGAGCUUGUUUAUUAAUUUGAUAAUCCUCAAUAAACUCUUACUUUUUCUUGAAUAUGUUAAUUACAGUUUGUAUAUUGCUGUCAUCAGUUUAUUUUGUAAAAAUUAUUUAAAGGACUUGAAAGUAUAGAUUACUAAUAUGUCAAGUCAAAAUGCAGCUAAUGGAGAAGGUUUAAAGUAAAAAUGAGCUACAGUUUAUAAUUUUUAAUUGGAUUAAAUUAUGUAAUAGUUUAUGAAUUUGGACUUAAUAGUAAUAUAAUUAAAUAGUGUGUUUAUAUGAAUUGUUUUGGUUUUGUAAUGCGUACAUAUCGCCCGUCGCUCUUGUUGAUAAAAUAAGAUAAGUCGUAACAUAGUAGGGGUAGUGGAAACUGUUCCUGGAUUAAAAAU